RNAcentral lists this ribosomal RNA (584 nucleotides) under uncultured bacterium. Its description in RNAcentral is "partial 16S ribosomal RNA". It matches the Rfam family "Bacterial small subunit ribosomal RNA", at positions 356 to 1375 of the family's 1533-position model. The record is from RNAcentral.
UGGGAAUUUUGGACAAUGGGCGAAAGCCUGAUCCAGCAAUGCCGCGUGUGUGAAGAAGGCCUUCGGGUUGUAAAGCACUUUUGUCCGGAAAGAAAUCCUUGGCUCUAAUACAGUCGGGGGAUGACGGUACCGGAAGAAUAAGCACCGGCUAACUACGUGCCAGCAGCCGCGGUAAUACGUAGGGUGCAAGCGUUAAUCGGAAUUACUGGGCGUAAAGCGUGCGCAGGCGGUUUGCUAAGACCGAUGUGAAAUCCCCGGGCUCAACCUGGGAACUGCAUUGGUGACUGGCAGGCUAGAGUAUGGCAGAGGGGGGUAGAAUUCCACGUGUAGCAGUGAAAUGCGUAGAGAUGUGGAGGAAUACCGAUGGCGAAGGCAGCCCCCUGGGCCAAUACUGACGCUCAUGCACGAAAGCGUGGGGAGCAAACAGGAUUAGAUACCCUGGUAGUCCACGCCCUAAANGAUGUCAACUAGUUGUUGGGGAUUCAUUUCCUUAGUAACGUAGCUAACGCGUGAAGUUGACCGCCUGGGGAGUACGGUCGCAAGAUUAAAACUUAAAUGAAUUGACGGGGUCAUAGCUGUUUCCU